This is a long non-coding RNA of Trematomus bernacchii (emerald rockcod), 177 nucleotides long. RefSeq lists it as uncharacterized. The record is from RefSeq and is a predicted model, not a curated record. The transcript has 2 exons. Lineage: Eukaryota; Metazoa; Chordata; Actinopteri; Perciformes; Nototheniidae.
CCAUCCUCAGACUUCGCCAGUUCUUCGUUUAUUCUUCAGUGAUCCACAUAUACCUGCCGCUCUGCCUGCCACGUCCAGCCUCCCCUCCUGGUCAGUCCAGCUCCACGUCUCCCUUCUGUGCUCUUCGUCAACUCCUUGCCAGUGUCGUGGACAAAAUAAAGCCCUUUUUUGACACUU